AAAAAAAAGUUGCCUCUAUUUAGAGGAGCUUUGUUUAUGUUUCUCAAAAUUAUUUAGCCUUUGCUUAGAGGAGCUUUGAUCAAAAUUUAAAAAAAAAAAAAGAAGCAAGAAAAAAUGGGCAAAAAAAAAAUCCGGUUGAGUCAUAAAGGGGUGUCUACGUCUUUGCACAAUUUUUGUUUCCCAAAAAAUGUGCAAAGAGGGGCAGCUGUAGACACCCCAUUUUGUCCGGGAUUCUUUGUCAUUUGAGACUAAUCCAAGCUCAGUUGCAGGGAUUUUUAUUCAUUUUUAUUUUAUAUUUUUGUUUAUUUCAUAUUUAUCAUUUUUUUUAUUUUAUGAUUUAUUUUUUUUUCUUUCUUUUGAUUAUCUGAUUAU
Molecule: long non-coding RNA, 372 nt
Filed under: Durio zibethinus
Lineage: Eukaryota; Viridiplantae; Streptophyta; Magnoliopsida; Malvales; Malvaceae
Description: long non-coding RNA (DZIB_LNC001183)
Source: RNAcentral